CCUACGGGUGGCAGCAGUGAGGAAUAUUGGUCAAUGGACGAGAGUCUGAACCAGCCAAGUAGCGUGAAGGAUGACUGCCCUAUGGGUUGUAAACUUCUUUUAUAUGGGAAUAAAAUGUUCCACGUGUGGGAUUUUGUAUGUACCAUAUGAAUAAGGAUCGGCUAACUCCGUGCCAGCAGCCGCGGUAAUACGGAGGAUCCGAGCGUUAUCCGGAUUUAUUGGGUUUAAAGGGAGCGUAGGUGGAUUGUUAAGUCAGUUGUGAAAGUUUGCGGCUCAACCGUAAAAUUGCAGUUGAAACUGGCAGUCUUGAGUAGAGUAGAGGUGGGCGGAAUGCGCGGUGUAGCGGUGAAAUGCUUAGAUAUCACGAAGAACUCCGAUUGCGAAGGCAGUUCACUGGACUGCAACUGACACUGAGGCUCGAAAGUGUGGGUAUCAAACAGGAUUAGAUACCCUUGUAGUC
This 460-nucleotide ribosomal RNA is filed under the name uncultured bacterium. RNAcentral's name for it is "partial 16S ribosomal RNA". It matches the Rfam family "Bacterial small subunit ribosomal RNA", at positions 338 to 795 of the family's 1533-position model. The record is from RNAcentral.